UACCUUGACUGUACUACGUGAAGCAUGCUAGGCCAGUACUACCUGUUGCUUGUCUUUUGUACUUCGUUUCCGUGUACCUUCUGGUUGUGAUUGGCGAGUCAUCAGCUCGCGUUGACUACGUCCCUGCCCUUUGUACACACCGCCCGUCGCUCCUACCGAUUGAAUGAUCCGGUGAAAUGUUCGGAUCGCGGCGACGUGGGCGGUUCGCUGCCCGCGACGUCGCGAGAAGUCCAUUGAACCUUAUCAUUUAGAGGAAGGAGAAGUCGUAACAAGGUUUCCGUAGGUGAACCUGCGGAAGGAUCAUUG
This 306-nucleotide non-coding RNA is filed under the name Nicotiana attenuata. RNAcentral describes it as "rRNA SSU_rRNA_eukarya". It matches the Rfam family "Eukaryotic small subunit ribosomal RNA", at positions 1549 to 1831 of the family's 1831-position model. The record is from Rfam by way of RNAcentral. Lineage: Eukaryota; Viridiplantae; Streptophyta; Magnoliopsida; Solanales; Solanaceae.